Molecule: long non-coding RNA, 1903 nt
Organism: Hevea brasiliensis (rubber tree)
Lineage: Eukaryota; Viridiplantae; Streptophyta; Magnoliopsida; Malpighiales; Euphorbiaceae
Exons: 2
Source: RefSeq, a predicted model, not a curated record
UUCACCUGUUCUUCAGGGGUAGCUCGAUGAACACGUUGUAACUAUGCAGCUAAAGAUGCUUUACAUUAUCUUUACGUAAACAUAUAUACACAGGUUGAUAGAGUUUGGCUUACAAUAGGACUUAUCAAACUAUUCAAUCAAUCUAGAUAAACUUUAUCACCCUCCCUCAAUUCUGAUCAGGGACUGGUAGAAUUGAAAGUUUGGAACCAAGAGCUCAUGUCUGUGUAGAAGAUACUAAAGUUUUUUGGUUGUAAAUUAUUUAGCUCAGUUUGCCGUACAGUUAGUUUGUUGAAAAUGUUUGCUAUAAGUUGCUGACUUGGACCACUAGUUAGCUAGCUGCUGCUGUAUACAAACUUUCUUCUUGUAUUCAUUCAUGUGUGGUGAAAUUGAGAUUCAUUUUUCAUUUUUCAUCUACAAUUUUAUCAUGGUAUCAGAGCAGGAAGAGAUCUAGGAUUUGAAGUGACGGUUACCAAGAAAUCACAAUCGAAGAAUUAGGGAAAAAUUAGGGAAAACUUUCUAAGGAUGGAAGAAAAUCGAGUCCGUGAAAUUGCUACGAGAGAAGAUGCGAGAGGUCAGGUCAAUGGAGUUCAAACUACUGGAGAUCCUUUGUAUUUGCAAAACUCGAAUCAUCCAGGUAUGGUUCAAGUCUCUACUCCUCUGAAUGGAAGAAAUUUUUGCUCUUGGAAUAGAGCAAUGAGAAUAGCCCUAGGGGCGAAGCAGAAAUUAGGAUUUGUUAAUGGAUCAAUUUCAAUGCUGCAAGAAGGAACUGAAGGAUUUGAGCAGUGGAAACGUUGUGAUUAUAUGGUUACAUCAUGGAUUCUUAAUGCCAUAACAAAAGAUUUGGUUGAUGCAUUUAUCUAUACAACUUCAGCAAAAGAAUUAUGAUAGGAAAUCUUUGAGAGGUAUGAUAGGAGUAAUAGUGCCUUGAUCUAUCAAUUGCACAGGCAGAUAUCUUCUAUUUUACAGGAGAAUGCUACAGUUACUGCGUAUUUUACAAAACUUAAAAGGUUGUGGGAUGAGUUAGGAUCUGUUAAGUGUUGCCUUCGUGCACUUGUGGUGUAGCAAAAGAAAUAGCAUAUCUGAUUGACAGAAAUAGGUUGAUGCAAUUUCUGACGGAACUUAAUGAAAGCUUUGAUUCUGUUAGAAAUCAAGUAUUGUUAACGGAUCCCCUACCAUCCAUCAAUAAAGCGUAUUCCACAGUGUUGAAAUUUGAGACACAAAAGCAAGUAUUGAGUAAUUUUCUAAGAUGAAUGAAUCAGUCUCUUUAUUCAAAGUCACAAGGUCAGUCUCAAGGAUAUAAGAAGGAACAAAAUAAGUAUGACCCUAAAAAAGGCCAUUGUAGCUAUUGUGACAUGGAUGGGCACAUUAGAAAAAAUUGUUUCAAGCUGAUUGGAUGUCUUGACUGGUUUAAAACUAGAAAUAAAGGGCAACAGAAUAGUUUUAAGCAGUAUAAACAAAAUGCUGGACAAGGAAAUAAGGUGGCUGCCAUAGCAGAAGGCACUUUUGUUUCUGAUACUCCGAUUGAGAUAAAUGGAGAAAGUUCAAAAAUUGAAGAGUUGAGCAGUAUGCUUGGUUCUCUACAGUAGGAAAUUCAAAAACUGGUUAAAGGAAAGGGUUUGUCUUCAACCAAUACUCCGAAUGCUACAAGUGGACAGUAUUGCAGUUCCACUUGUUAGAAUGCAACGAAUUUUGCUGGACCUGCAGACCGAGGAAGUACUAGCUGUGGGAAGAGAAGCAGCAGGCCUUUACAAAUUAGACAAAUUGAGUUUUUCUCCUGGUAUCAUUCAAAAAUGUUUAACACAUCUUCAUAAUUCCUUGUCUUCUUUCUCCUAUGUAAAUACCAUUAUCUCUAAAGCUUGUUCUCUCAAAAUUGAUAUUAAUAAAGAGAGUGUUUUGUGUUCUA